RNAcentral lists this ribosomal RNA (484 nucleotides) under uncultured bacterium. Its description in RNAcentral is "partial 16S ribosomal RNA". It matches the Rfam family "Bacterial small subunit ribosomal RNA", at positions 30 to 507 of the family's 1533-position model. The record is from RNAcentral.
AUUGAACGCUGGCGGCAGGCCUAACACAUGCAAGUCGAGCGGAUGAGGGGAGCUUGCUCCUGGAUUCAGCGGCGGACGGGUGAGUAAUGCCUAGGAAUCUGCCUGGUAGUGGGGGAUAACGUCCGGAAACGGGCGCUAAUACCGCAUACGUCCUGAGGGAGAAAGUGGGGGAUCUUCGGACCUCACGCUAUCAGAUGAGCCUAGGUCGGAUUAGCUAGUUGGUGGGGUAAAGGCCUACCAAGGCGACGAUCCGUAACUGGUCUGAGAGGAUGAUCAGUCACACUGGAACUGAGACACGGUCCAGACUCCUACGGGAGGGAGCAGUGGGGAAUAUUGGACAAUUGGCGGAAGCCUGAUCCAGCCAUGCCGCGUGUGUGAAGAAGGUCUUCGGAUUGUAAAGCACUUUAAGUUGGGAGGAAGGGCAGUAAGUUAAUACCUUGCUGUUUUGACGUUACCAACAGAAUAAGCACCGGCUAACUUCGUG